Molecule: ribosomal RNA, 431 nt
Filed under: Gemella haemolysans
Lineage: Bacteria; Bacillati; Bacillota; Bacilli; Caryophanales; Gemellaceae
Description: bacterial SSU rRNA
Rfam family: Bacterial small subunit ribosomal RNA
Source: RNAcentral
GACGAACGCGGCGGCGUGCCUAAUACAUGCAAGUCGAGCGAAGUUUUUCUGGUGCUUGCACCGGAAAAACUUAGCGGCGAACGGGUGAGUAACACGUAAAGAACCUGCCUCAUAGACUGGGACAACUAUUGGAAACGAUAGCUAAUACCGGAUAACAGCAUUAACUGCAUGGUUGAUGUUUAAAAGUUGGUUUUGCUAACACUAUGAGAUGGCUUUGCGGUGCAUCAGCUAGUUGGUGGGGUAAAGGCCUACCAAGGCGACGAUGCAUAGCCGACCUGAGAGGGUGAUCGGCCACACUGGGACUGAGACACGGCCCAGACUCCUACGGGAGGCAGCAGUAGGGAAUCUUCCGCAAUGGGCGAAAGCCUGACGGGAGCAAACGCCGCGUGAGUGAAAGAAAGGGAUUUUCGGUUUCGUAAAAGCUUCUGGUU